This 497-nucleotide ribosomal RNA is filed under the name uncultured bacterium. RNAcentral describes it as "partial 16S ribosomal RNA". It matches the Rfam family "Bacterial small subunit ribosomal RNA", at positions 28 to 507 of the family's 1533-position model. The record is from RNAcentral.
GAUGAACGCUGGCGGCGUGCCUAAUACAUGCAAGUCGAGCGAACGGACGAGAAGCUUGCUUCUCUGAUGUUAGCGGCGGACGGGUGAGUAACACGUGGAUAACCUACCUAUAAGACUGGGAUAACUUCGGGAAACCGGAGCUAAUACCGGAUAAUAUUUUGAACCGCAUGGUUCAAAAGUAAAAGACGGUCUUGCUGUCACUUAUAGAUGGUUCCGCGCUGCAUUAGCUAGUUGGUAAGGUAACGGCUUACCAAGGCAACGAUGCAUAGCCGACCUGAGAGGGUGAUCGGCCACACUGGAACUGAGACACGGUCCAGACUCCUACGGGAGGCAGCAGUAGGGAAUCUUCCGCAAUGGGCGAAAGCCUGACGGAGCAACGCCGCGUGAGUGAUGAAGGUCUUCGGAUCGUAAAACUCUGUUAUUAGGGAAGAACAUAUGUGUAAGUAACUGUGCACAUCUUGACGGUACCUAAUCAGAAAGCCACGGCUAACUACGUG